AGUCUUCCAGCGCUUCCUACAGGCUGUGUUCUUACAUUGACUGUCCAUAAAAAAGAAGGCGGAAUAAAUCCACCCCAUAUAUUCUUCAGCCCUGGUCCUUUGCCUGAUCUAUAUUGUGAUUGAGAAAACAUGG
Small nucleolar RNA from Pipistrellus kuhlii (Kuhl's pipistrelle), 133 nucleotides. RefSeq annotates it as small nucleolar RNA SNORA51. The record is from RefSeq and is a predicted model, not a curated record. Lineage: Eukaryota; Metazoa; Chordata; Mammalia; Chiroptera; Vespertilionidae. The transcript has a single exon.